GAAAUGCGAUAAGUAGUGUGAAUUGCAGAAUUCAGUGAAUCAUCGAAUCUUUGAACGCACAUUGCGCCCUUUGGUAUUCCAUGGGGCAUGCCUGUUCGAGCGUCAUUUCAACCCUCAGAACCCCUUGCGGGAUCUGGCGUUGGGGAUUGGCAUCCAGCCAGCCCCGAAAUCUAGUGGCGGUCCCUCCGCGACCUCCCCUGUGCAGUAGCGAUACCUCGCAGCGGGACAGCGGUCUGACCACGCCGUAAAACCCCCAACUUCUCAAGGUUGACCUCGAAUCAGGUAGGAAUACCCGCUGAACUUAAGC
Molecule: unclassified non-coding RNA, 307 nt
Filed under: plant metagenome
Description: partial contains 5.8S ribosomal RNA, internal transcribed spacer 2, and large subunit ribosomal RNA
Rfam family: 5.8S ribosomal RNA (bases 1-105)
Source: RNAcentral